UGUAGUCGGUCCCAAGGGUUGGGGUGUUCGCCCAUUAAAGCGGUACGCGAGCUGGGUUCUGAACGUCGUGAGACAGUUCGGUCCCUAUCCGUCGUGGGCGUAGGAAAUUUGAGAGGAGCUGUCCUUAGUACGAGAGGACCGGGAUGGACACACCGCUGGUGUACCAGUUGUCUUGCCAAAGGCAUCGCUGGGUAGCUAUGUGUGGACGGGAUAAGUGCUGAAAGCAUCUAAGCAUGAAGCCCCCCUCAAGAUGAGAUUUCCCAUAGCGCAAGCUAGUAAGAUCCCUGAAAGAUGAUCAGGUUGAUAGGUCAGAGGUGGAAGCGUGGCGACAUGUGUAGCUGACUGAUACUAAUCGAUCGAGGACUUAACCAAAUU
This 375-nucleotide ribosomal RNA is filed under the name Priestia aryabhattai. RNAcentral describes it as "bacterial LSU rRNA". It matches the Rfam family "Bacterial large subunit ribosomal RNA", at positions 2554 to 2925 of the family's 2925-position model. The record is from RNAcentral. Lineage: Bacteria; Bacillati; Bacillota; Bacilli; Caryophanales; Bacillaceae.